This 71-nucleotide transfer RNA is filed under the name Cryptopone sauteri. Its description in RNAcentral is "tRNA-Cys". The record is from RNAcentral. Lineage: Eukaryota; Metazoa; Arthropoda; Insecta; Hymenoptera; Formicidae.
AAAUUUUAUAGUUUAAGUUAAAAUAUUAAAAUGCAAAUUUAAUGAUGUUAUAUAAAUAUAAUUAAGAUUUU